RNAcentral lists this long non-coding RNA (1015 nucleotides) under Calidris pugnax (ruff). Its description in RNAcentral is "lncRNA (ENSCPUG00000001326.1)". Lineage: Eukaryota; Metazoa; Chordata; Aves; Charadriiformes; Scolopacidae. The record is from RNAcentral.
NNNNNNNNNNNNNNNNNNNNNNNNNNNNNNNNNNNNNNNNNNNCCCCCCCCCACCAAUUCCCAGUUCAUCCCAGUGACCUUCCCAGUUCAUCCCAGUGCUCCCAGUUCAUCCCAGUGACCUUCCCAGUUCAUCCCAGUGCUCCCAGUUCAUCCCACUGCCCCUCCCAGUUCAUCCCAGUGCUCUCAGUGCCGACUCCAGUGCUCCCAGUUGAUCCCAGUUCAUCCCGGAGCCCUUCCCAGUGCUCCCAGUUCAUCCCAGUUGAUCCCCGUUCAUCCCAGUGCCCACCCUCAAUGCUCCCAGUUCAUCCCAGUUGAUCCCAGUGCCCCGUCCAGUGCUCCCAGUUCAUCCCAGUGCCCACCUUCAGUGUUCCCAGUCCUCCCAGUUCAUCCCAGUGCCCACCCUCCAGUGCCUCCAGUUUAUCCCAGUGCUCCCUUCAGUGUUCCCAGUUCAUCCCAGUGGCUCCUCCAGGGCUCCCAGUUCAUCCCACUGCUCCCAGUCACUCCCCCAGUGCUCCCAGUUCAUCCCAGUUCAUUCCAGUGCUCUUCCCAGUUCAUCCCAGUGCUCCUAGUUCGUCCCAGUGCCCACCCUCAGAGCUCCCAGUUCAUCCCAGUUCAUCCCAGUGCCCCUCCCAGUUCAUCCCAGUUCAUCCCAGUUCAUCCCAGUUCAUCCCGGUUCAUACCAGUGCCCCUCCCAGUUCAUCCCAGUGGUCCCAGUGCCCCCUCCAGUGCUUCCAGUUCAUCCCAGUGCUCCUCCCAGUUCAUCCCAGUGCCCCCUCCAGUGCUCCCAGUUCAUCCCAGUUGAUCCCAGUUCAUCCCGGUGCCCCUCCCAGGGCUCCCAGUUCAUCCCAGUGCCCACCACCAGUGCUCCCAGUUCAUCCCAGUGCUCUCAGUGCCGACUCCAGUGCUCCCAGUUCAUCCCAGUUCAUCCCAGUGCCCACCAUCAAUGCUCCCAGUUAAUCCCAGUUCAUCCCAGUUCAUCCAGGUGCCCCUCCCAGUGCUCCCAGUUGAUCCCAGC